AAUUUUUGACAAUGGGGGAAACCCUGAUCCAGCCAUCCCGCGUGUAUGAUGAAGGCCUUCGGGUUNUCAAGUACUUUUGGCAGAGANGAAAAGGUAUCUCCUAAUACGAGAUACUGCUGACGGUAUAUGCAGAAUAAGCACCGGCUAACUACGUGCCAGCAGCCGCGGUAAUACGUAGGGUGCAAGCGUUAAUCGGAAUUACUGGGCUUAAAGCGUGUGUGGGCAGUGCGGAAAAAAAGAUAUGAAAGCCCAGGGCUCAACCUUGGAACUGCAUUUUGAACUGACGGGCUAGAGAAUGUCAGAGGGGGGUAGAAUUCAACGUGUAGCAGUGAAAUGCGUAGAUAUGUGGAGGAAUACCGAUGGCGAGGGCAGCCCCCUGGGAAAAUACUGACGCUCAGACACGAAAGCGUGGGGAGCAAACAGG
This 424-nucleotide ribosomal RNA is filed under the name uncultured bacterium. Its description in RNAcentral is "partial 16S ribosomal RNA". It matches the Rfam family "Bacterial small subunit ribosomal RNA", at positions 360 to 776 of the family's 1533-position model. The record is from RNAcentral.